This 495-nucleotide ribosomal RNA is filed under the name uncultured bacterium. Its description in RNAcentral is "partial 16S ribosomal RNA". It matches the Rfam family "Bacterial small subunit ribosomal RNA", at positions 28 to 507 of the family's 1533-position model. The record is from RNAcentral.
GACGAACGCUGGCGGCGUGCCUAAUACAUGCAAGUAGAACGCUGAAGGAGGAGCUUGCUUCUCUGGAUGAGUUGCGAACGGGUGAGUAACGCGUAGGUAACCUGCCUGGUAGCGGGGGAUAACUAGUGGAAACGAUAGCUAAUACCUCAUAAGAGUAGAUGUUGCAUGACAUUUUCUUAAAAGGUGCAAUUGCAUCACUACCAGAUGGACCUGCGUUGUAUUAGCUAGUUGGUGGGGUAACGGCUCAACAAGGCGACGAUACAUAGACGACCUGAGAGGGUGGUCGGCCCCACUGGGACUGAGAAAAGGCCCAGACUUCUACGGGAGGCAGCAGUAGGGAAUCUUCGGAAAUGGACGGAAGUCUGAACGAGCAACGGCGCGUGAGUGAAGAAGGGUUUCGGAUCGGAAAGCUCCGUUGUAAGAGAAGAAAGAGUGUGAGAGUGGAAAGUUCACACUGUGACGGUAUCUAAACAGAAAGGGACGGCUAACUACGUG